CCUACGGGUGGCAGCAGUAGGGAAUAUUGCUCAAUGGGCGAAACCCUGAACCAGCAACGCCGCGUGGAGGAUGAAGGUUUUAGGAUUGUAAACCCCCUUUGUGAGAGAAGAAAAGGACGGUAACUCACGAAUAAGCACUGGCUAACUCCGUGACAGCAGCCGCGGCAAUAUGGAGGGUGCAAGCGUUAUUCGGAAUCACUGGGCGUAAAGGGUGCGUAGUCGGGCUUGUAAGUCAGAGGUGAAAUCCUGUAGUUUAACUACAGAACUGCAUUUGAAACUGUGAGUCUCGAGUGUGGGAGAGGUAGGUGGAAUUCUUGGUGUAGCGGUGAAAUCCGUAGAUAUCAAGAGGAAUACUCAUUGCGAAGGCGGCCUACUGGAACAUUACUGACGCUCAUGCACGAAAGCGUGGGGAGCAAACAGGAUUAGAUACCCGAGUAGUC
This 440-nucleotide ribosomal RNA is filed under the name uncultured bacterium. RNAcentral describes it as "partial 16S ribosomal RNA". It matches the Rfam family "Bacterial small subunit ribosomal RNA", at positions 338 to 795 of the family's 1533-position model. The record is from RNAcentral.